Molecule: ribosomal RNA, 314 nt
Filed under: uncultured bacterium
Lineage: Bacteria
Description: partial 16S ribosomal RNA
Rfam family: Bacterial small subunit ribosomal RNA
Source: RNAcentral
GUAUAAGAGACAGCAGUAGCCGCGGUAAUACAGAGGGUGCGAGCGUUAAUCGGAUUUACUGGGCGUAAAGCGUGCGUAGGCGGCUUUUUAAGUCGGAUGUGAAAUCCCUGAGCUUAACUUAGGAAUUGCAUUCGAUACUGGGAAGCUAGAGUAUGGGAGAGGAUGGUAGAAUUCCAGGUGUAGCGGUGAAAUGCGUAGAGAUCUGGAGGAAUACCGAUGGCGAAGGCAGCCAUCUGGCCUAAUACUGACGCUGAGGUACGAAAGCAUGGGGAGCAAACAGGAUUAGAUACCCGGGUAGUCCCUGUCUCUUAUAA